AGGACGAACGCUGGCGGCGUGCUUAACACAUGCAAGUCGAGCGGUAAGGCCUUUCGGGGUACACGAGCGGCGAACGGGUGAGUAACACGUGGGUGAUCUGCCCUGCACUCUGGGAUAAGCCUGGGAAACUGGGUCUAAUACCGGAUAUGACCUGCUCUCGCAGUGGGGGUGGGUGGAAAGAUUUAUCGGUGCAGGAUGGGGCCCGCGGCCUAUCAGUCUUGGUUGGUGGGGUAAUGGCCUACCAAGGCGACGACGGGUAGCCG
This 263-nucleotide ribosomal RNA is filed under the name uncultured soil bacterium. Its description in RNAcentral is "partial 16S ribosomal RNA". It matches the Rfam family "Bacterial small subunit ribosomal RNA", at positions 26 to 289 of the family's 1533-position model. The record is from RNAcentral.